UAGAGGAAGUAAAAGUCGUAACAAGGUUUCCGUAGAACAAGUCUUGCAGGAAUGAUUCCUUCCGCAGUGUACACUUGUAGAAGCCUUUGCAGCCACGCAAGUGGUAGAUCCGGGCGACUUUAAACAAUCCCAGGAUCGCUAUGCAAGUCGGCCCACGCGCGUGGUGCCGGCGACACUUUCGAAUUGACGGGGACGCCCUAAAGCCUGUCGCACCAACUCUGUGCGGGAAACCGCCCGAGGGCCCGUGCUAACUACACGGGGUGGUAACAGACGACAUGGAUACUUUCCACGCCUUUGGUAUGGAUGCUAUGGGCAAUCCGCAGCGAAGCCUCUAAGUCCGGCCGACGGAUACGAGGAACGUUCACAGACUAAGUGGAAGUGGGUGGAGCGUUUGCCGCUCUGCUUAAGAUAUAGUCGGUCCCCUUGGGAAACUAAGGGGGUGAGUGCACUGCCUGAAAUUUUAACACGAACGUGCGCGAUUGUAAGGUGAUUGAUUCUUAUACACGCCAGCAGCGCGCCUUCCCUAAAAUUUCAAGACUGCCAAUUGCCUCGCGGUUUGACAGCUCUUAAAACGUUCCGUAGGUGAACCUGCGGAAGGAUCAUUACAGAAAGUAAACGCGGGUCAAACCGCGAACUUUUAAACCUUUGACGAUUGACUCAUGUUGCCUCGGCGGGCUCGCCCGCCAGAGGAUACAUCAAAACUCCUGUUUUAACGGUGUUGUCUGAGCUACAAGCAACGAAUAAAAACUUUCAACAACGGAUCUCUUGGUUCUGGCAUCGAUGAAGAACGCAGCGAAAUGCGAUAAGUAGUGUGAAUUGCAGAAUUCAGUGAAUCAUCGAAUCUUUGAACGCACAUUGCGCCCCUUGGUAUCCCGAGGGGCAUGCCUGUUCGAGCGUCAUUACACCACUCAAGCCUGGCUUGGUGUUGGGCGACGUCCCCUUUUGGGGACGCGCCUUGAAAUGCUCGGCGGCGUGGCACCGGCUUUAAGCGUAGCAGAAUCUUUCGCUUCGAAAGUCGGGGCCCCGCCUGCCGGAAGACCUACUCACAAGGUUGACCUCGGAUCAGGCAGGGAUACCCGCUGAACUUAAGCAUAUCA
This 1097-nucleotide unclassified non-coding RNA is filed under the name Cenococcum geophilum. Its description in RNAcentral is "partial contains ITS1, 5.8S rRNA and ITS2". The stretch from base 746 to 899 matches the Rfam family "5.8S ribosomal RNA". The record is from RNAcentral. Lineage: Eukaryota; Fungi; Ascomycota; Dothideomycetes; Gloniales; Gloniaceae.